Molecule: long non-coding RNA, 578 nt
Filed under: Mustela putorius furo (domestic ferret)
Lineage: Eukaryota; Metazoa; Chordata; Mammalia; Carnivora; Mustelidae
Description: lncRNA (ENSMPUG00000025691.1)
Source: RNAcentral
UUUGCAGAGAAAUGUGCGUUUUUCAGCUCCUGGCCAGCCGCAUCAGGGAGGCUGGAAACUGUUCAAAGCUGAGGGAAAGGAGAUGCAGAAGAACUAAUGAUGAUCUUCACACCUAGCAAUAUGGCUGCUUUCUUCUCUGUGUUCUUGGCUUAAUUCACUCAUUUUGCAAGGGUUUUCAGUCAAGCAACUGUAGAAGAGGAUUGAAAAUCCUUACUAAAGAAGGUAAGAACAUUCUAUUCAAAACCCACUGCUCUCCCCAUCUUUUGGUAAAACAAAGGUUAAGUACCGGUUAUGUUUUGGAUCAGGCACCAGCUUGAAUAAAAUACAAUGAGCUUAAGGCCUAACAACCCACAUUUCUGGCAGAUGUGGAAAAACAGAAAUUUAACUGUGAGGUGAAGUGCUUCUUGGGCCUGUGUUAUUCGGAAGAUGCAGAAACUUGGAGCUUUGUAUUACUAUCAGUUGGUUUGGUUUUCUCUCCUGACUUCUAUCUUUUCCUAAAUGACCUGUACUCAUGACAAGGAUGGGAGACACAUGGUGGGGGGAGCCGUGGGGGAGGGGUGCCAUUUGCCAAUUAGGCC